Molecule: long non-coding RNA, 1068 nt
Organism: Dendronephthya gigantea
Lineage: Eukaryota; Metazoa; Cnidaria; Anthozoa; Malacalcyonacea; Nephtheidae
Exons: 2
Source: RefSeq, a predicted model, not a curated record
AGUAGUUGUCUGAAGUUUGUGGCAAGUGACUCAUUGCAUUAGCCAGUGGAAUCUUUGUAUGGUACAAGUAUCAUUGCGAGAUAUUUCCCGCUGCGCCGUUACUACGGUCUUGCGAAUAAUCGUGGCUGUGAAUGUAGCUUUUGAAUUGGGACAAAGGCGCGUCGCGAGAUUGUUUACACGACACGUUACUUUGCCACCAAUUAACUGUUUCCCAGCCGUUGUGAUAAAGAAGUGAUUGUUCCGCGCUUUACCUUGCGAUGAAUAUGUUGCAUACCUCGGCCGUAGGUAUCUGAGAUACUUGGUCGCCAUAGAAAAGUCGCAUUCACUCCAAACUAAUGGUGCUGGACCGUUGCUGGAAGUUUUGUGCUUCCACGAAUGGGUUACCAUCAGCGAAUUGCCUUCGUCCGUUUCUCGCCUUUCUGCCACACGAAACUCAUCCACGGUUAAGUUGGAAAUCGCGCCGGGUCGCUGCGCAUUUCUCAGAAGCAGAGAAAGCAUAAGGAUUGCUGCUUCUAUGCUGUUCAAGUCAUCUUGGUCGAAGUCCAUCAAGCAUUUCAAUUGGAGAUUGUGUGCUUUAGCAAACUUUAGAAAAGACAUAUAAGAGCAACUGUAAUGUGCUAAUGUGCCAGGUUGCUUCGGAACUUCUCUUAAGUAGUUGCCCUCGAAGAAAGUCCUCCUAAUUAUUCCGACCGUCUCCUCCUUCCAAAGAAGCGAGCAAUCGUUCACCGUUUGGUCAACCUGAAAAAGUAACUUUCCAACGUUGCUCACUUCUUCUCUGCUGUAGCUUUUUUUACCCCCGUCGAAGCUUUCCAAAUAGUUCUGAAAGAGUUUUAGGACCGGGUUUUUUUUUACCCUCGUUGCUAGCUCCCCCCUCUCCGGGUCUUUAGGUGCCAGAGGGCCGUGACUGGGCUGUGGGAAGGCGCAUUUUCUAUUCCUCGCCCGUCUCCGGAUUCCUCGCCACUCUCUCGCUUUGCACAUCAGACUACAGAAUGGGGAUUAACCAUUUAUUACUUAAAUUUGUAAAUUUAGGUUUUGAGUUUUACAUCAUCGAGUUUUCGUACUUACGAA